GUUUGAUCGUGGCUCAGAUUGAACGCUGGCGGCAUGCCUAACACAUGCAAGUCGAACGGCAGCAUGACCUAGCUUGCUAGGUUGAUGGCGAGUGGCGGACGGGGGAGUAAAGCGUAGGAAUCUACCUAAUAGAGGGGGAUAACCCGAGGAAACUCGGACUAAUACCGCAUAAUGCCUACGGGUGAAAAGAUGGCUUUUCGGAGACAUCUGCUAUUAGAUGAGCCUACGUCGGAUUAGCUAGUUGGUAUGGUAAAGGCAUACCAAGGCAUCGAUCCGUAGCUGUUCUGAGAGGAAGAUCAGCCACACUGGGACUGAGACACGGCCCAGACUCCUACGGGAGGCAGCAGUGGGGAAUAUUGGACAAUGGGGGAAACCCUGAUCCAGCAAUGCCGCGUGUGUGAAGAAGGCCUGCGGGUUGUAAAGCACUUUCAGUUUAGAGGAAGGGUAGCGGUUAAUACCCAUUAUGUGUGACGUUAGCAACAGAAGAAGGACCGGCUAACUCCGUGCCAGCAGCCGCGGUAAUACAGAGGGUGCGAGCGUUAAUCGGAAUUACUGGGCGUAAAGCGCACGUAGGUGGAUAGAUAAGUCGGAUGUGAAAUUCCUGGGCUCAACCUGGGCAUGUCAUUCGAAACUGUAAAUCUAGAGUCUUGGAGAGGGGAGUGGAAUUUCUGGUGUAGCGGUGAAAUGCGUAGAUAUCGGAAGGAACAUCAGUGGCGAAGGCGUACACCUGGACUAAUACUGACACUGGGGCACGAAAGCGUGGGUAGCAAACAGGAUUAGAUACCCUGGUAGUCCACGCUGUAAACGAUGUCUACUAGCCGUUGGAAGACUUGAUCUUUUAGUGGCGCAGCAAACGCGAUAAGUUUUCCGCCUGGGGAGUACGGCCGCAAGGUUAAAACUCAAAGAAAUUGACGGGGGCCCGCACAAGCGGUGGAGCAUGUGGUUUAAUUCGAUGCAACGCGAAGAACCUUACCAGGUCUUGACAUCCAGAGAACUUACUAGAGAUAGUUUGGUGCCUUCGGGAACUCUGAGACAGGUGCUGCAUGGCUGUCGUCAGCUCGUGUCGUGAGAUGUUGGAUUAAGUCCCGUAACGAGCGCAACCCUUGUCCUUAGUUGCCAGGAAGUAAUGGUGUGAACUCUAAGGAGACUGCCGGUGACAAACCGGAGGAAGGUGGGGGCGACGUCAAGUCAUCAUGGCCCUUACGACCUGGGCUACACACGUGCUACAAUGGUCGGUACAGAGGGUUGCUAUACCGCGAGGUGGAGCUAAUCCCAGAAAACCGAUCGUAGUCCGGAUUGGAGUCUGCAACACGACUCCAUGAAGUCGGAAUCGCUAGUAAUCGCGAAUCAGAAUGUCGCGGUGAAUACGUUCCCGGGCCUUGUACACACCGCCCGUCACACCAUGGGAGUGGAUUGCACCAGAAGUAGGUAGCUUAACCUUCGGGAGAGCGCUUACCACGGUGUGGUUCA
RNAcentral lists this ribosomal RNA (1470 nucleotides) under uncultured prokaryote. RNAcentral's name for it is "partial 16S ribosomal RNA". It matches the Rfam family "Bacterial small subunit ribosomal RNA". The record is from RNAcentral.